This 492-nucleotide ribosomal RNA is filed under the name uncultured bacterium. Its description in RNAcentral is "partial 16S ribosomal RNA". It matches the Rfam family "Bacterial small subunit ribosomal RNA", at positions 29 to 507 of the family's 1533-position model. The record is from RNAcentral.
AGUGAACGCUGGCGGUAGGCCUAACACAUGCAAGUCGAACGGCAGCACAGUAAGAGCUUGCUCUUACGGGUGGCGAGUGGCGGACGGGUGAGGAAUACAUCGGAAUCUACUUUUUCGUGGGGGAUAACGUAGGGAAACUUACGCUAAUACCGCGUACGACCUACGGGUGAAAGCAGGGGAUCUUCGGACCUUGCGCGAUUGAAUGAGCCGAUGUCGGAUUAGCUAGUUGGCGGGGUAAAGGCCCGCCAAGGCGACGAUCCGUAGCUGGUCUGAGAGGAUGAUCAGCCACACUGGAACUGAGACACGGUCCAGACUCCUACGGGAGGCAGCAGUGGGGAAUAUUGGACAAUGGGCGCAAGCCUGAUCCAGCCAUACCGCGUGGGUGAAGAAGGCCUUCGGGCUGUAAAGCCCUUUUGUUGGGAAAGAAAAGCAGCAGGUUAAUACCCCGCUGUUCUGACGGUACCCAAAGAAUAAGCACCGGCUAACUUCGUG